AACGAACGCUGGCGGCGUGCUUAACACAUGCAAGUCGAACGCGAAAGGGGGUAACUCCCGGUAGCGUGGCAGACGGGUGAGUAACACGUGGGUAACCUGCCCGGAGGUGGGGGAUAACCCUUCGAAAGGAGGGCUAAUACCGCAUGACAUCCUCGGGUUCUUGGAUCUGAGGAUCAAAGCUAGCCUCUGCUUGCAAGCUAGCGCCGACCGGAGGGGCCCGCGUCCCAUUAGCUAGUUGGUGAGGNGACGGCUCACCAAGGCUACGAUGGGUAGCCGGCCUGAGAGGGCGACCGGCCACACUGGAACUGAGACACGGUCCAGACUCCUACGGGAGGCAGCAGUGAGGAAUCUUGCGCAAUGGGCGAAAGCCUGACGCAGCGACGCCGCGUGGAGGAUGAAGGUCUUCGGAUUGUAAACUCCUGUCGAGUGGGACGAA
RNAcentral lists this ribosomal RNA (436 nucleotides) under uncultured bacterium. RNAcentral's name for it is "bacterial SSU rRNA". It matches the Rfam family "Bacterial small subunit ribosomal RNA", at positions 29 to 449 of the family's 1533-position model. The record is from RNAcentral.